UACGUAGGGGGCUAGCGUUGUCCGGAUUUAUUGGGCGUAAAGAGCGUGUAGGCGGCCGCACAGGUCCGUUGUGAAAACUGGAGGCUUAACCUUCAGACGUCGAUGGAAACCGUGCGGCUAGAGUCCGGAAGAGGCGAGUGGAAUUCCCGGUGUAGCGGUGAAAUGCGCAGAUAUCGGGAGGAACACCUAUGGCGAAGGCAGCUCGCUGGGACGUUACUGACGCUGAGACGCGAAAGCGUGGGGAGCAAACAGG
This 253-nucleotide ribosomal RNA is filed under the name uncultured bacterium. RNAcentral describes it as "partial 16S ribosomal RNA". It matches the Rfam family "Bacterial small subunit ribosomal RNA", at positions 524 to 776 of the family's 1533-position model. The record is from RNAcentral.